RNAcentral lists this ribosomal RNA (484 nucleotides) under uncultured bacterium. RNAcentral's name for it is "partial 16S ribosomal RNA". The stretch from base 56 to 484 matches the Rfam family "Bacterial small subunit ribosomal RNA", at positions 39 to 507 of the family's 1533-position model. The record is from RNAcentral.
GGGGGGGGGGGGGGGGGGGGCGGGCGGGGGGGGGGCGGGGGGGGGGGGGGAGGGGGCGCCGGGGGGCAGCGGCGGACGGGUGAGUAAUGCCGGGGCAUCGGCCGGGUAGUGGGGGGUAACGUCCGGAAACGGGCGCUAAUACCGCAUACGUGCCGAGGGGGAGAGGGGGGGAUCUGCGGACCUCACGCUCUCAGCUGAGCCUAGGCCGGGUUAGCUAGUUGGUGGGGUCAAGGCCUACCAAGGCGACGAUCGGUAACUGGUCUGAGAGGAUGAUCAGUCACACUGGAACUGAGACACGGUCCAGACUCCUACGGGAGGCAGCAGUGGGGAAUAUUGGACAAUGGGCGAAAGCCUGAUCCAGCCAUGCCGCGUGUGUGAAGAAGGUCUUCGGAUUGUAAAGCACUUUAAGUUGGGAGGAAGGGCAGUAAGUUAAUACCUUGCUGUUUUGACGUUACCAACAGAAUAAGCACCGGCUAACUUCGUG